UAGCUCAGUGGUAGAGCAUAUGCUUAGCAUGCAUGAGGUCCUGGGUUCAAUCCCCAG
Molecule: transfer RNA, 57 nt
Filed under: Camelus bactrianus (Bactrian camel)
Lineage: Eukaryota; Metazoa; Chordata; Mammalia; Artiodactyla; Camelidae
Also listed under: 3 other names
Rfam family: tRNA
About the family: Transfer RNA (tRNA) molecules are approximately 80 nucleotides in length.
Source: Rfam by way of RNAcentral